Molecule: non-coding RNA, 632 nt
Organism: Paramuricea clavata
Lineage: Eukaryota; Metazoa; Cnidaria; Anthozoa; Malacalcyonacea; Plexauridae
Source: the annotation of a GenBank genome assembly
CCCGGAUUCAGGUUUUGGCACAUAUGCCAUGUUGACCGCCAUGGUCAUUUUACCCUAAAACAGUUGAGAUUACCUGUCCUAAAUGAAACGCAUACAAACUCAUAUACAGGUCCUAGACUACAAACAAAAUUCUCAAUACUAUUGAAAUUUAAUACAACGCAAUAGCGAUAUUAAACUUCAAUCAUAGUUUAAUUAUUUUCAAUCUAUUAUCGUAAUUCACCUUUUCCACCGGUUUUUAUACCUUCAAAAAGUUGCAAUGACGCUAAUUUUGUAGGAAAUAACAUUUAGUUAUAAAUUUGUAAAGGAAAUCUUGAUAAAAUCUUGACCCAAGCUCGCAAGCCAAGCGCCGUGCGGAAGUAAAGACCCUGUCUUGCGAGGUUGACCUUGACCUUGUUAUUACCGUCGCUUGCAACUAACGAUGAACGGUCGUUAAUUAAAGCAUUGCCUACUCGCGUGAGAAUUUUAAGUUUACUUGUUUUGACAUAAUAGCUAUUUUUCAGUAAAUAUCUUGAUGUUAAACUUAUUGAAUCAAUAUUUUAAGUUUCAGGCCAGUUGUACCAAAAGUUAUUAGCACUAGCGCAUCAUAAGGUUUCAGAUGGCAUGCAACGUGUACGCAUUGCGUACCUAUUUUU